ACGUAGGGUCCGAGCGUUAAUCGGAAUUACUGGGCGUAAAGCGUGCGCAGGCGGUUUUGUAAGCCAGAUGUGAAAUCCCCGGGCUCAACCUGGGAACUGCAUUUGGGACUGCAAGGCUUGAGUACGGCAGAGGGGGGUAGAAUUCCUGGUGUAGCAGUGAAAUGCGUAGAUAUCAGGAGGAAUACCGAUGGCGAAGGCAGCCCCCUGGGUCGAUACUGACGCUCAUGCACGAAAGCGUGGGGAGCAAACAGG
RNAcentral lists this ribosomal RNA (252 nucleotides) under uncultured bacterium. RNAcentral's name for it is "partial 16S ribosomal RNA". It matches the Rfam family "Bacterial small subunit ribosomal RNA", at positions 525 to 776 of the family's 1533-position model. The record is from RNAcentral.